UACAGAGGUCUCAAGCGUUGUUCGGAUUCAUUGGGCGUAAAGCGCACGUAGGUGGUCUGUUAUGUCAGAUGUGAAAGCCCUCGGCUUAACUGAGGAAGUGCACCUGAAACUGGCAGGCUUGAGUACGAAAGAGGGUCGCGGAAUUCCCGGUGUAGAGGUGAAAUUCGUAGAUAUCGGGAGGAACACCGGUGGCGAAGGCGGCGACCUGGUUCGAUACUGACACUGAGGUGCGAAAGCGUGGGGAGCAAACAGG
Molecule: ribosomal RNA, 253 nt
Filed under: uncultured bacterium
Lineage: Bacteria
Description: partial 16S ribosomal RNA
Rfam family: Bacterial small subunit ribosomal RNA
Source: RNAcentral